UGUUUUUCAAAAACAUAGCCUUAGGGAAAUUGAUCUAAGGUUAAACCUGCCCAAUGUUGAGUACUUAAAUUAUAUAUUAAUGGCCGCGGUACUUUGACCGUGCUAAGGUAGCGUAAUCAGUUGGCUUUUAAAUGGAGUCAGGUAUGAAUGGAUUAAACGGAAUUUAGCUGUCUCUAAUUUAAUUUAUAGAAAUUACUGUGAAGGUGAAAAAGCCUUCAAAAAGAAAAAAGACGAGAAGACCCUAAGAGUUUUUUUGAAUGUAGGAAAAUUCUUAUAAUGAUUUAGUUGGGGCAACAUAAGAACAGAUUUAACUUCUUUAAAGCUAUAUAUCGAUUUUUAUAAAAAUAAAUAAACUACCUUAGGGAUAACAGCAUAAUUUAUUAAUUAAGUUUGUGACCUCGAUGUUGGACUAGGAAACUGAAAGGCUAGCCGCUUUUUAGAAAGGUUCUGUUCGAACUAUUAACUCCUACGUG
RNAcentral lists this ribosomal RNA (473 nucleotides) under Phyllidiella hageni. RNAcentral's name for it is "partial large subunit ribosomal RNA". It matches the Rfam family "Archaeal large subunit ribosomal RNA", at positions 1893 to 2671 of the family's 2987-position model. Lineage: Eukaryota; Metazoa; Mollusca; Gastropoda; Nudibranchia; Phyllidiidae. The record is from RNAcentral.